CCGAAUGGGGAAACCCAGUGUGAUUCGUCACACUAUCAUUAACUGAAUCCAUAGGUUAAUGAGGCGAACCGGGGGAACUGAAACAUCUAAGUACCCCGAGGAAAAGAAAUCAACCGAGAUUCCCCCAGUAGCGGCGAGCGAACGGGGAGGAGCCCAGAGCCUGAAUCAGCAUGUGUGUUAGUGGAAGCGUCUGGAAAGGCGCGCGAUACAGGGUGACAGCCCCGUACACAAAAGCGCAUGUGCUGUGAGCUCGAUGAGUAGGGCGGGACACGUGGUAUCCUGUCUGAAUAUGGGGGGACCAUCCUCCAAGGCUAAAUACUCCUGACUGACCGAUAGUGAACCAGUACCGUGAGGGAAAGGCGAAAAGAACCCCGGCGAGGGGAGUGAAAAAGAACCUGAAACCGUGUACGUACAAGCAGUGGGAGCNNAUAGGGGAGCCGGAGGGAAACCGAGUCUUAAUUGGGCGUUAAGUUGCAGGGUAUAGACCCGAAACCCGGUGAUCUAGCCAUGGGCAGGUUGAAGGUUGGGUAACACUAACUGGAGGACCGAACCGACUAAUGUUGAAAAAUUAGCGGAUGACCUGUGGCUGGGGGUGAAAGGCCAAUCAAACCGGGAGAUAGCUGGUUCUCCCCGAAAGCUAUUUAGGUAGCGCCUCGUGAAUUCAUCUCCGGGGGUAGAGCACUGUUUCGGCUAGGGGGCCAUCCCGGCUUACCAACCCGAUGCAAACUGCGAAUACCGGAGAAUGUUAUCACGGGAGACACACGGCGGGUGCUAACGUCCGUCGUGAAGAGGGAAACAACCCAGACCGCCAGCUAAGGUCCCAAAGUCAUGGUUAAGUGGGAAACGAUGUGGGAAGGCCCAGACAGCCAGGAUGUUGGCUUAGAAGCAGCCAUCAUUUAAAGAAAGCGUAAUAGCUCACUGGUCGAGUCGGCCUGCGCGGAAGAUGUAACGGGGCUAAACCAUGCACCGAAGCUGCGGCAGCGAACGUAUCACCCAAGACAACUUUACGGAGUUGACGAUUGACGGAGCGAAGCGACGUCAAAGCGUUCAUUAAAGUCGAGUUGGCUUAGGGAUACGUUCGUUGGGUAGGGGAGCGUUCUGUAAGCCUGUGAAGGUGUGUCGUGAGGCAUGCUGGAGGUAUCAGAAGUGCGAAUGCUGACAUAAGUAACGAUAAAGCGGGUGAAAAGCCCGCUCGCCGGAAGACCAAGGGUUCCUGUCCAACGUUAAUCGGGGCAGGGUGAGUCGACCCCUAAGGCGAGGCCGAAAGGCGUAGUCGAUGGGAAACGGGUUAAUAUUCCCGUACUUGGUGUUACUGCGAAGGGGGGACGGAGAAGGCUAUGUUGGCCGGGCGACGGUUGUCCCGGUUUAAGCGUGUAGGUGUGUGUUCCAGGUAAAUCCGGUUCACUUUAACACUGAGGCGUGACGACGAGGCACUACGGUGCUGAAGCAACAAAUGCCCUGCUUCCAGGAAAAGCCUCUAAGCAUCAGGUAACAUCAAAUCGUACCCCAAACCGACACAGGUGGUCAGGUAGAGAAUACCAAGGCGCUUGAGAGAACUCGGGUGAAGGAACUAGGCAAAAUGGUGCCGUAACUUCGGGAGAAGGCACGCUGACACGUAGGUGAAGUGAUUUACUCAUGGAGCUGAAGUCAGUCGAAGAUACCAGCUGGCUGCAACUGUUUAUUAAAAACACAGCACUGUGCAAACACGAAAGUGGACGUAUACGGUGUGACGCCUGCCCGGUGCCGGAAGGUUAAUUGAUGGGGUCAGCGCAAGCGAAGCUCCUGAUCGAAGCCCCGGUAAACGGCGGCCGUAACUAUAACGGUCCUAAGGUAGCGAAAUUCCUUGUCGGGUAAGUUCCGACCUGCACGAAUGGCGUAAUGAUGGCCAGGCUGUCUCCACCCGAGACUCAGUGAAAUUGAACUCGCUGUGAAGAUGCAGUGUACCCGCGGCAAGACGGAAAGACCCCGUGAACCUUUACUAUAGCUUGACACUGAACAUUGAGCCUUGAUGUGUAGGAUAGGUGGGAGGCUUUGAAGUGUGGACGCCAGUCUGCAUGGAGCCGACCUUGAAAUACCACCCUUUAAUGUUUGAUGUUCUAACGUGGACCCGUAAUCCGGGUUGCGGACAGUGUCUGGUGGGUAGUUUGACUGGGGCGGUCUCCUCCUAAAGAGUAACGGAGGAGCACGAAGGUUGGCUAAUCCUGGUCGGACAUCAGGAGGUUAGUGCAAUGGCAUAAGCCAGCUUGACUGCGAGCGUGACGGCGCGAGCAGGUGCGAAAGCAGGUCAUAGUGAUCCGGUGGUUCUGAAUGGAAGGGCCAUCGCUCAACGGAUAAAAGGUACUCCGGGGAUAACAGGCUGAUACCGCCCAAGAGUUCAUAUCGACGGCGGUGUUUGGCACCUCGAUGUCGGCUCAUCACAUCCUGGGGCUGAAGUAGGUCCCAAGGGUAUGGCUGUUCGCCAUUUAAAGUGGUACGCGAGCUGGGUUUAGAACGUCGUGAGACAGUUCGGUCCCUAUCUGCCGUGGGCGCUGGAGAACUGAGGGGGGCUGCUCCUAGUACGAGAGGACCGGAGUGGACGCAUCACUGGUGUUCGGGUUGUCAUGCCAAUGGCACUGCCCGGUAGCUAAAUGCGGAAGAGAUAAGUGCUGAAAGCAUCUAAGCACGAAACUUGCCCCGAGAUGAGUUCUCCCUGAGACUUAGAGUCUCCUGAAGGAACGUUGAAGACGACGACGUUGAUAGGCCGGGUGUGUAAGCGCAGCGAUGCGUUGAGCUAACCGGUACUAAUGAACCGUGAGGCUUAACCUUACAACGCCGAAG
RNAcentral lists this ribosomal RNA (2817 nucleotides) under Salmonella enterica subsp. enterica serovar Typhimurium. RNAcentral describes it as "bacterial LSU rRNA". It matches the Rfam family "Bacterial large subunit ribosomal RNA". The record is from RNAcentral. Lineage: Bacteria; Pseudomonadati; Pseudomonadota; Gammaproteobacteria; Enterobacterales; Enterobacteriaceae.